UACGGAGGUGGCAAGCGUUGCUCGGAAUCACUGGGCGUAAAGGGCGCGUAGGCGGGUGGGUAAGUCGGGUGUGAAAUCCCUCGGCCCAACCGAGGAACUGCGCCCGAGACUGCUUCUCUUGAGUCCCGGAGAGGAAGGUGGAAUUCCCGGUGUAGCGGUGAAAUGCGUAGAUAUCAGGAGGAACACCGGUGGCGAAGGCGGCUAUCUGGACAGAGUCUGACGCUGAGGCGCGAAAGCUAGGGGAGCAAACAGG
This 253-nucleotide ribosomal RNA is filed under the name uncultured bacterium. RNAcentral's name for it is "partial 16S ribosomal RNA". It matches the Rfam family "Bacterial small subunit ribosomal RNA", at positions 524 to 776 of the family's 1533-position model. The record is from RNAcentral.